UACGGAGGAUGCAAGCGUUAUCCGGAAUGAUUGGGCGUAAAGCGUCCGCAGGUGGUGUUGUAAGUCUGUUGUUAAAGCGUGCGGCUUAACCGCAUAAAGGCGAUGGAAACUACAAGACUAGAGUGCGUUAGGGGUAGAGGGAAUUCCUGGUGUAGCGGUGAAAUGCGUAGAGAUCAGGAAGAACACCCGUGGCAAAAGCGCUCUACUAUGCCGCAACUGACACUGAGGGACGAAAGCUAGGGGAGCGAAUGGG
Molecule: ribosomal RNA, 253 nt
Filed under: uncultured bacterium
Lineage: Bacteria
Description: partial 16S ribosomal RNA
Rfam family: Bacterial small subunit ribosomal RNA
Source: RNAcentral